Molecule: ribosomal RNA, 492 nt
Filed under: uncultured bacterium
Lineage: Bacteria
Description: partial 16S ribosomal RNA
Rfam family: Bacterial small subunit ribosomal RNA
Source: RNAcentral
AGUGAACGCUGGCGGUAGGCCUAACACAUGCAAGUCGAACGGCAGCACGGUAAGAGCUUGCUCUUACGGGUGGCGAGUGGCGGACGGGUGAGGAAUACAUCGGAAUCUACUUUUUCGUGGGGGAUAACGUAGGGAAACUUACGCUAAUACCGCAUACGACCUACGGGUGAAAGCAGGGGAUCUUCGGACCUUGCGCGAUUGAAUGAGCCGAUGUCGGAUUAGCUAGUUGGCGGGGUAAAGGCCCACCAAGGCGACGAUCCGUAGCUGGUCUGAGAGGAUGAUCAGCCACACUGGAACUGAGACACGGUCCAGACUUCUACGGGAGGCAGCAGUGGGGAAUAUUGGACAAUGGGCGCAAGCCUGAUCCAGCCAUACCGCGUGGGUGAAGAAGGCCUUCGGGUUGUAAAGCCCUUUUGUUGGGAAAGAAAAGCAGCAGGUUAAUACCCCGCUGUUCUGACGGUACCCAAAGAAUAAGCACCGGCUAACUUCGUG